RNAcentral lists this ribosomal RNA (403 nucleotides) under uncultured bacterium. RNAcentral describes it as "bacterial SSU rRNA". It matches the Rfam family "Bacterial small subunit ribosomal RNA", at positions 976 to 1380 of the family's 1533-position model. The record is from RNAcentral.
AGGUCUUGACAUACUCGUGCUAUUCCUAGAGAUAGGAAGUUCCUUCGGGACACGGGAUACAGGUGGUGCAUGGUUGUCGUCAGCUCGUGUCGUGAGAUGUUGGGUUAAGUCCCGCAACGAGCGCAACCCCUAUUGUUAGUUGCCAUCAUUAAGUUGGGCACUCUAACGAGACUGCCGGUGAUAAACCGGAGGAAGGUGGGGAUGACGUCAAAUCAUCAUGCCCCUUAUGACCUGGGCUACACACGUGCUACAAUGGAUGGUACAACGAGUCGCGAGACAGUGAUGUUUAGCUAAUCUCUUAAAACCAUUCUCAGUUCGGAUUGUAGGCUGCAACUCGCCUACAUGAAGUCGGAAUCGCUAGUAAUCGCGGAUCAGCACGCCGCGGUGAAUACGUUCCCGGGCC